This 651-nucleotide ribosomal RNA is filed under the name Trechispora thailandica. Its description in RNAcentral is "Trechispora sp. SLL-2022o partial large subunit ribosomal RNA". It matches the Rfam family "Eukaryotic large subunit ribosomal RNA", at positions 77 to 745 of the family's 3401-position model. Lineage: Eukaryota; Fungi; Basidiomycota; Agaricomycetes; Trechisporales; Hydnodontaceae. The record is from RNAcentral.
CCCCUAGUAACUGCGAGUGAAGCGGGAAAAGCUCAAAUUUGAAAUCUGGCGGCUCCGUCGCCCGAGUUGUAUUCUGGAGAAGCGUCUUCCGCGCCGGACCGUGUACAAGUCCCUUGGAACAGGGCGUCAUAGAGGGUGAGAAUCCCGUCUUUGGCACGGACUCCCGGUGCUCUGCGAUGCGCUCUCGAAGAGUCGAGUUGUUUGGGAAUGCAGCUCAAAAUGGGUGGUAAAUUCCAUCUAAAGCUAAAUAUUGGCGAGAGACCGAUAGCGAACAAGUACCGUGAGGGAAAGAUGAAAAGCACUUUGGAAAGAGAGUAAAACAGUACGUGAAAUUGUUGAAAGGGAAACGCUUGAAGUCAGUCGCGUCUUCUGGAACUCAGCCUUGCUUCUGCUCGGUGCACUUUCCAGUUCGACGGGCCAGCAUCGGUUUCGGGCGGUGGACACUGGCGAGGGGAAGGUGGCAGCUCCGGCUGCGUUAUAGCCCCUCGUCGCAAACUCCGCCUGGGACCGAGGAAUCCGGCGCGAGCCUGGGAUGCUGGCGUAAUGGCUUUAAACGACCCGUCUUGAAACACGGACCAAGGAGUGCUACACGCUCGCGAGUGUUUGGGUGGCAAACCCGAGCGCGCAAUGAAAGUGAAAGUCGAUACCCCU